This 431-nucleotide ribosomal RNA is filed under the name uncultured bacterium. RNAcentral's name for it is "bacterial SSU rRNA". It matches the Rfam family "Bacterial small subunit ribosomal RNA", at positions 354 to 777 of the family's 1533-position model. The record is from RNAcentral.
GUUAGGAAUAUUCGUCAAUGGGGGAAACCCUGAACGAGCAAUGCCGCGUGAAGGAAGACGGUCCUAUGGAUUGUAAACUUCUGUUGUAAGGGAAGAACGACCUAAGUAGGAAAUGAUUUAGGAGUGACGGUACCUUUCAAGAAAGCUCCGGCUAACUACGUGCCAGCAGCCGCGGUAAUACGUAGGGAGCGAGCGUUAUCCGGAAUUAUUGGGUGUAAAGGGUGCGUAGGCGGCAUAAUAAGUCAGUGGUGAAAGCCCGGAGCUUAACUCCGGUAAGCCAUUGAAACUGUUAAGCUUGAGUAUGGUAGAGGCAAGCGGAAUUUCUAGUGUAGCGGUAAAAUGCGUAGAUAUUAGAAGGAACACCAGUGGCGAAGGCGGCUUGCUGGGCCAAAACUGACGCUGAGGCACGAAAGCGUGGGGAGCAAAUAGGA